RNAcentral lists this transfer-messenger RNA (60 nucleotides) under Providencia alcalifaciens. RNAcentral describes it as "partial transfer-messenger RNA". It matches the Rfam family "transfer-messenger RNA", at positions 315 to 374 of the family's 374-position model. From Rfam's summary of the family: Bacterial tmRNA, also known as 10Sa RNA or SsrA, is named for its dual tRNA and mRNA-like properties. The record is from RNAcentral. Lineage: Bacteria; Pseudomonadati; Pseudomonadota; Gammaproteobacteria; Enterobacterales; Morganellaceae.
UGUAUAUAAUAAAGAAUGUAGAAAUUUCGGACGCGGGUUCAACUCCCGCCAGCUCCACCA